RNAcentral lists this ribosomal RNA (506 nucleotides) under uncultured bacterium. RNAcentral describes it as "partial 16S ribosomal RNA". It matches the Rfam family "Bacterial small subunit ribosomal RNA", at positions 29 to 523 of the family's 1533-position model. The record is from RNAcentral.
AGUGAACGCUGGCGGUAGGCCUAACACAUGCAAGUCGAACGGCAGCACAGAGGAGCUUGCUCCUUGGGUGGCGAGUGGCGGACGGGUGAGGAACACAUCGGAAUCUACUCUGUCGUGGGGGAUAACGUAGGGAAACUUACGCUAAUACCGCAUACGACCUACGGGGGAAAGCAGGGGAUCUUCGGACCUUGCGCGAUUGAAUGAGCCGAUGUCGGAUUAGCUAGUUGGCGGGGUAAAGGCGCACCAAGGCGACGAUCCGUAGCUGGUCUGAGAGGAUGAUCAGCCACACGGGAACUGAGACACGGACCAGACUCCUACGGGAGGCUGCAGUGGGGAAUAUUGGACAAUGGGCGCAAGCCUGAUCCAGCCAUACCGCGUGGGUGAAGAAGGCCUUCGGGUUGUAAAGCCCUUUUGUUGGGAAAGAAAUCCAUCUGGUUAAUACCCGGGUGGGAUGACGGUACCCAAAGAAUAAGCACCGGCUAACUUCGUGCCAGCAGCCGCGGUAA